AACAGCACACGAUCUCUGCCUCCUCUGAAAAACAGCACACGAUCUCUGCCCCCUCUCAAAAACAGCACACGAUCUCUGUCCGUUCAUGAUUCCAGUUCCCCGGCCGAUCUUCCGUCACCGUCGCUUCUUCCCUCCCUCAUCCCAGGUCGCGCCGUAGUCAGCUAUCCACCGUUGGGAAAGGAGACCGCUUCCACCUCGAUGCCUUCGACCCGUUGCAAAUCCCGGCGCUGCGAUUCACUCGCAGCCGGCCCGACCCCCCGUCCCGCCAUGCCUUCCUCACGCACGGCCCCCGUGCUCCACACCAGCGGUGGCCGCCGGACUUACCCUCCAGAGGCGGCCUUUGCUCCUUACCCACCCUGUGCUACCCAUUCCCCAAUAAGGACAGGGUCGUUGUCUUCCGCCUCGUGUCCGACGCAAAGUGGCGUCAUCCUCGCCUUUUGACAACGAGCGGCACUGGUGGACGGGCACUGUGUAUGAUGCGGUGAGCGCGCACACAUCACCGCAGUGGUGGGUGGUGCAGAAGAUGCAUUAUAUUUGCUUCAGUCCUAGAUGGACGAAGAUGAAACCAUUGGAAGCUAAUAGGAAGACAUGGAAGAAGAUGACCAAUCUCGCUCAGAGGAUGUGUAGAAGGAAUGCUUCGACGAAGGAUCGGUCACUGAUAUGGCUCAGACCAUUGACAAAUUGGUGCUAUAUGAGGAGAGAGCCCAUAGAACUUCCUCCCAUGUGUGGUCAUGAUGAUGACCCGAUGCUGAUACCUGGUAACUUUGGCUUUCUAGAGUUGUUUUGUAUUGGAAACUUAUGAAAUCUGAGGUAAGGAAGCAUUCCCUUCGAAAUUUUAUGGACAUGGAUCCGAACCUUGGUAGAUUUGUAGCAUCAAUGCGGAAAAAAGACUUCUGGGUAGUGAAUGUAGUCCCUUUCAUGGAAUCUGGAAACUGAAAAUCAUGUAUGACCAUGGUUUGCUAGGGACAAUCUAUAAUUGGUAAGAUGUUCGUGCAAUACCUUCGUACUUUCUGUCUAUACAUUUCAUAGUCAACCUUCUUUGACGAUUAUGCAUACUUAAAUUCUUAGAAUUCUUUUUUUGGUCAAGGGAUGAUUUUAUAUUUGUAUCGAUGGUUUUAAUUGCAUAGGCAAGUAUUGAUACAUGAAACUUGUUAAUAGUGGUUAUCCAUAUGAGUGACACAUUUUGUUAUAAAGAAUACCCUGCCCUUAACUUUGGUUAACUGAUGGAGGCAUGAUAAGUUGUACUGUCAAAAUGCCCAAAGAUAUUUUUAAAAAGCCAGAAGCUUGUCUCCACAUCAGGUGCUCCUUGCCUAACAGUUCAGAUUCUUGACUAACGUCUUCCAUACUUUAUGCAUCCUAUACUACUCCUACUCCAUGUCUCCAUACAACUGACAGCUGCUUAAUAUUUUUAUUUACUUGCCUUUUGCAUUGAAGCUGCGAGUCAUUCUUGACAUACCUUGUACUUACGACCUGCUUCAUGUUUGACUCCUGUUCUCUGAGAAGGAAAAUCAGGGAUGUAGCCUGGAGGAUCUGCUGACCUCAAAUAGUGAUAUUGCGACAGGAAACUCAAGUGCCGAUGAGACUUGCUGCGGUGGCGGGCGGCCGCGCUGAGGCCAGCAUGCCGGGCGAGGUGGUCAGGUGGACUAGGUCACUAGGAAGAUGCUCAAAUCACUGUUUGACUACAUCUGCCAGGCCACUUUACCCGAAGAUGAUGCUUCCAUGUGUACCUUGUCAGAUGUCAUAAUUAAUAUUGACAAUUGAAGCACUGAGUAGGACAGCGGGAAGCUCCCCUAUACAAGUUUCAGAAUUUGUAAAAUAUAAAUUAUACAGUUGUAGGAAAUAUCAGCUAUUGAGACACCCAUACUUUUCUUAGUCUAGAUGCUGAUACAACCUCGUACUUGUAUAUUGUAAUGCACUGGAAGUGAUUCGCAUACCCAAGAAAGUUGCAGAACACAAACUUUUUUGGGCUUCUGCAGCUGAAACGUCUGAAGCUUAUGCAGACAACAUGCCAUUUUUUUUAGUUAGAUUCAAAUUGUUGGUAUAACACAAACUUUUUUGGGCUUCUACAGCUGAAACUUCUGUAUGAAA
Long non-coding RNA from Lolium rigidum, 2088 nucleotides. RefSeq lists it as uncharacterized. The transcript is spliced from 5 exons. NCBI's taxonomy places the organism in Eukaryota, Viridiplantae, Streptophyta, Magnoliopsida, Poales, Poaceae. The record is from RefSeq and is a predicted model, not a curated record.